Molecule: long non-coding RNA, 2874 nt
Organism: Panicum virgatum (switchgrass)
Lineage: Eukaryota; Viridiplantae; Streptophyta; Magnoliopsida; Poales; Poaceae
Exons: 5
Source: RefSeq, a predicted model, not a curated record
GGACUGCCAAAAUUUGGUGCUCUGCCUAGGUUUACUUGAUGGCGACAAAAACCCAGGACGAACUGGAGGUGUGGACUCCAAGGUCUGCGCUCCCUCCGAUCGUUGGACAUAAGGAAUUGCCCCUUCCCAGACUCCUUGGAACGCCUCUAUCUUCGGGGCGCGGUGGGCACGGCGACGCUGCUGCCUGUCUCAAACCUCACCUCUCUCACAGAUUUAAUCAUUUGGGGAUGUGGGGAUUUAAGAGGCGAGGGACUGCGGCCUCUCCUCGCCCAAGGUCAUCUCACCAAUUUGACCGUUCGCGGAACCCCAAAUUUCUUCGCUGGUUUCGAGCCCUCACCGCCGCAUGAACAAGAGCUCCCACCCUCUUCCUUCAAACUGAAGGAGCAUUGGACGGAUGACGCCGCGGGUCUCCUUGCUGCGCCCAUCUGGGCCUUGCUCUCUUCCUCGCUCACCGAAUUGCACUUUGAAUGGGACAGAGAGGAGGAGCGCUUUUCAAAGGAGCAAGAGGAGGCACUUCAGCUCCUCAGCUCCCUCGAUAGGAUCGGAUUUUGGGAGUGCGACAAGCUGCAGCGCCUCCCCGCAGGGCUGCAUAGACUUCCCAACCUCAAGAGAUUAGUCAUCGUAAGUUGUGCAGCUAUCCGGUCGCUGCUCAAGGAUGGCCUCCCAAGUUCUCUGCAAGAGUUGGAGAUCUGCUUCUCUCCAGGCAUCCGCUCGGUGCCCAAGGAGUGCCUCCCAAGUUCACUGCAGAAACUAGUGAUCAUAGACUGCCCAGCCAUCCGGUCGCUGCCAAAGGUGGACGACCUUCCAAGUUCACUGCGAGAAUUGGAUGUCCGUGACAGCAGCGAGGAGUUACGAAGGCACUGCCGCAAGUUGAUAGGAACCAUUCCUAUAGUCAGAGUCUGAUUAAACCAAGGUAACAAGGUGGUGGAACUUCGUACCCACCAAUUUCCCUUGCUUUCCAUAACCCUAUAAUCAUUAGUCAUUCUCCUUUUGUUUAUUUGAUUACAGUUAUGGUUUCCUUCCUAAUAACCUACUUGUUUUCACCAACUACGCAGGGCUAUCGUUCGAAUUGAUACAUUCUUCUAACUUCUGGAUUCUCAUUGUAUGUAUACACGAUUCUGAGUUUUCAAGAAUGAACAUCUCAGGAUGUUCCUAACACCCUGUACAUAAAACUGCAUCUACAUGCCUAUUUCAAUUCCAAAGAGAAUGGAGCUAGGAUCAAUUGCUUUCAUACUAUCGCUUCUAGAUCAUCUCUGUUGAGGCCUAUUAACUAACAUAAGAACUAUGCUGAGAUCAGAUUAUACUGGUUCAAGUGCACAAGAGAAUAUCAAGACUUUAAGAUGUACAUCUUCUAGUCUCAUUGAAUCUUUCUGAAACCACAUUGUUGCCCACAAGGAGUUCAGGUGCGUCUUCCGGCUUUUAGGAAAUCCUUUGCCCAAGGUAACUAUGCUAUAUUUCUUCUUUUUUUGACAGAACAGGAGGGGAAUAAUCCCCUACUGAUUAUAUAUUAAAAAAGAAAGUGUUACAAAGAGUUACAAAGGGAGUAACAGGAAAAAAGAAAAGAAAAGAAAAAGGCAACUAAGAAUUACAGCAUAGCAUCUAGCCAUAACACUAUCCCUGGGAAGUAUUUCUGCUUAGCCCGAUGAAGCAUCAGGGUAAACUCCUUCCUGAACUUGGCUUUGCACUUAUUUAAGCUUGCAGCCUGAUUAUAAAAAAUGAGCCCAUUUCGAACUGCCCAGAUACUCCAGGACAUUUCUUAUUGUUGCCAUCUCUCCUUGAAAAAAAUAUAUGUUGGACUGUUCUCUUGCUAUUUUGGACAUUCAGAAAAAAGAUUGCUUAGUGCCCACAGCUUUAGCAAUGAUGGAAUAUGAAUUGCUUUUAAACAUGAUGGCCAAUCUGGUAAAUCCUUCUAAUUUUAAUGCUUUUAAACUGUCAUUAAUACAGCACACAUCCUUAAUAUAUCUGGCUAUCAACGUGAAAGAAAAGAAAUUUACCAUUGAACAUGCCCCUAGAUUGCACCCCUGGUUUUAGUUAUCAUUUGCAUUGAACUGUUACUCUGUUAAUCUCUUUUAUUUCAAAAAAAAACUCUGUUAAUCUCUUUACAGCUACAUAAGCUUUUGAACUGACUGGAACUAUCCAGGGCACAAGUCAUUUAGAUUUCCACUUUUGAGUUAUAAUUAGACUUGUUUCUAAAUACUCUGCUUCCCUUUUUGAGAGUGUACAUGGAAAUUUCCUUUACAAGUUUGUUAAUGGUUUCUUCAAUGCAGUAAACAUUGAUAGGAAAAGUACAUCUCAGAAGACAACCAUCAUGGAACUCCAUAGUUUUGUAGGUCAUUUCCUGGAAAGCUUCACAUGGCAGCGGAGUAUAUUUUGUCACAAAGGUUUAAGUGAUUCGUUCAAGCAGGUUUAGCACUGCACUAGCCACUAUGUUUGCUGGAGCAAUUUCUGAUGUUUCAACUCCUCGUCUGUUAUUGUCUUCCUUCUUCCCUCCAACGACUUGGCUGCACCCUAUGCAGGUCAAUUUGGCAUCUUAAGCAGAUGCGAGGAUAAUCCUCCUUGAAGAACAGAGAGAAUUAUGAUUUCCGCUGGAUUGGAGAGUUCUAUGGUUUUUCCAUGUCAAUAUAGCCUUGGAAAAUUCUCGAUCAUUCAUGCAGUUUUCUGCAACUUGUCUUGUCAGUAGCUAAAAUUGUAUUUUGGCCAUUGGCUCUGAUAUGCAAGACUAAUGAUCAUUCUGUAGUGUAUUCACUUGUGCCGAAGUAUAAUUCUGAAAGAAGACAUGCAGAGUCAAAGUGACGAAAACACAUGCUGUUGUAACAUUAUUGCCAUCAUAUUUUUUUUUCGAAACUUCAGUUAACCAGUCGAAAUUCAGAAGCA